This 2064-nucleotide ribosomal RNA is filed under the name human gut metagenome. RNAcentral's name for it is "bacterial LSU rRNA". It matches the Rfam family "Bacterial large subunit ribosomal RNA", at positions 848 to 2925 of the family's 2925-position model. The record is from RNAcentral.
GCUGGUUCUCCCCGAAAUAGCUUUAGGGCUAGCCUUGGGACAUUGUUUAGUGGGGGUAAAGCACUGAAUAUGAGCGAGCCGCGCCAAGCGGUAUCAAUCAUAAUCAAACUCUGAAUCCCAUUAGAUGUACCCCAGGAGUCAGACUACGGGAGAUAAGUUCCGUGGUCAAGAGGGCAACAGCCCAGACCGCCGAUUAAGGUCCCUAAAUUCACGCUAAGUGUCAAAGGAUGUAGAGAUACUCAAACAGCUAGGAUGUUGGCUCAGAGGCAGCCAUCAUUUAAAGAAUGCGUAACAGCUCACUAGUCAAGUGUCUCCGCGCCGAAAAUUUACCGGGGCUAAGCGUGAUACCGAAAUCGCGGAUGAAUCCUAAAAAUUCGUGGUAGGGGAGCGUUCUGUUUGCAGUGAAGCCAUAUCGUGAGGAGUGGUGGAGCGUACAGAAGCGAGAAUGCCGGCGUAAGUAACGAUAAAGGGUGAGAAUCCCUUUCACCAAUUGACUAAGGUUUCCUGGGCAAGGUUCGUCCUCCCAGGGUUAGUCGGGACCUAAGGCGAGGCCGACAGGCGUAGUCGAUGGACAGCAGGUUGAUAUUCCUGCACCCGAGCACGCAGUGAUGCAAUGACGAAAACGGCUAUGCUCACCUCCGAUCGGAAGUGGAGGGCAGAGCGUAGGAGUCGAUUCCUUGUUAAGUACGGGAAUCAUUAAGACAAAGACGUGCGGUAUGAAAGUCGCGAGACGAGUAAGAAACAGCAGACGCCGAUUUCCAAGAAAAGUUGCUAACGUUAAACGUGUUCGGCCCGUACCGAGAACGGACACACGUGGUCAAGGAGAAUAUCCUGAGGUGAGCGAGAUAACUGUUGUUAAGGAACUCUGCAAAAUAACUUCGUAAGUUAGCAAGAAGAAGUGCUCCAGCGAUGGAGCCGCAGCGAAUCGGCCCAAGUAACUGUUUACCAAAAACACAGCUCUAUGCUAAGUCGCAAGACGAUGUAUAUGGGGUGACGCCUGCCCGGUGCCGGAAGGUUAAAAGGAGAGGUUAGGAGCAAUCCGAAGCUUUGAAUUGAAGCCCCGGUGAACGGCGGCCGUAACUAUAACGGUCCUAAGGUAGCGAAAUUCCUUGUCAGGUAAGUUCUGACCCGCACGAAUGGCGUAACGAUUUGGGCACUGUCUCAACAGCCCGCCCGGCGAAAUUGUAGUACCGGUGAAGAUGCCGGUUACCCGCGACUAGACGGAAAGACCCCAUGGAGCUUUACUAUAACUUAAUAUUGAGUAAAUGCGAAUCUUGUACAGUAUAGGUGGGAGACUUUGAAGUCGGGGCGUCAGCUUCGAUGGAGUCGCCGUUGGGAUACCACUCUGGAUUUGCAUUUAUUCUAACUCCUACCCUGGAUGGGCGGGAGGACAGUGUUAGGCGGGUAGUUUGGCUGGGGCGGCCGCCUCCCAAAUAGUAACGGAGGCGCCCUAAGGUACCCUCAGUAUGGUCGGAAAUCAUACGUAGAGCGCAAAUGCAUAAGGGUGCUUGACUGCAAGACCGACAAGUCGAGCAGGUACGAAAGUAGGGAUUAGUGACCAGGCGGUUUCAUUGUGGAAUGGCCGUCGCUUAACGGAUAAAAGCUACCCUGGGGAUAACAGGCUGAUCGCGUCCAAGAGUUCACUUCGACGACGCGGUUUGGCACCUCGAUGUCGGCUCAUCACAUCCUGGAGGGGCAGCACCUUCCAAGGGUUAGGCUGUUCGCCUAUUAAAGUGGUACGCGAGCUGGGUUCAAAACGUCGUGAGACAGUUUGGUCCCUAUCUGUCGUGGGCGUAGGAAGUUUGAAAGGAUCUGUCCCUAGUACGAGAGGACCGGGAUGGACAUACCUCUGGUGCACCAGUUGUCACGCCAGUGGCACAGCUGGGUAGCUACGUAUGGAACAGAUAAGCGCUGAAGGCAUCUAAGUGCGAAACUGACCUUAAGAUGAGACUUCCCAUUCGCAAGAAGUAAGAUCCCUUUAAAGUGAAGAGGUAGAUAGGUCAGGGGUGUAAGUGUAGUGAUACACUAAGCUGACUGAUACUAAUCGAUCGAGGAUUUUGUGAA